This 350-nucleotide unclassified non-coding RNA is filed under the name soil metagenome. Its description in RNAcentral is "partial contains 5.8S ribosomal RNA, internal transcribed spacer 2, and large subunit ribosomal RNA". The stretch from base 1 to 120 matches the Rfam family "5.8S ribosomal RNA", at positions 35 to 154 of the family's 154-position model. The record is from RNAcentral.
GAUGAAGAACGUAGCGAAAUGCGAUAAGUAAUGUGAAUUGCAGAAUUCAGUGAAUCAUCGAAUCUUUGAACGCACAUUGCGCCCGCCAGUAGUCUGGCGGGCAUGCCUGUUCGAGCGUCAUUUCAACCCUCAGGCCCCCAGUGCCUGGUGUUGGGGAUCGGCAGCAGGGCGUCAAGCCCCCCGGCCCCGAAAUCUAGUGGCGGUCUCGCUGUAGUCCUCCUCUGCGUAGUAGCACAACCUCGCAUUUGGAACGCGGCGGUGGCCAUGCCGUUAAACACCCCACUUCUGAAAGUUGACCUCGGAUCAGGUAGGAAUACCCGCUGAACUUAAGCAUAUCAAUAAGCGGAGGA